This is a small nucleolar RNA of Gossypium raimondii (Peruvian cotton), 106 nucleotides long. It matches the Rfam family "Plant small nucleolar RNA R71". From Rfam's summary of the family: R71 is a member of the C/D box family of snoRNAs containing the C (UGAUGA) and D (CUGA) box motifs. Multiple nearly identical copies of this snoRNA have been identified in Arabidopsis, and it is thought to function as a 2'-O-ribose methylation guide for 18S ribosomal RNA. Lineage: Eukaryota; Viridiplantae; Streptophyta; Magnoliopsida; Malvales; Malvaceae. The record is from Rfam.
AUUUCAUGAUGGGGACACUACCUCAACAGUGACUUGAAUCGAUCCCAAGCUUCAUAUAAAUUUUCAACUUCGAAUUGCUUGAAGUUGGCGAUCUCUCAAAGGAGUU